UGUUCGUUCUCCUGGGAAAUGCAAGAGAAUUAAAGGACACUUGGACAAAGGUGGAAAAAAAAACAAGGUCGCCGGGAACAAGGAGAAGGGAAAGACAAUACGGAUGUGUUCUUUAUGCCACCAGUUGGGUACCCAUGAUAAGCGCACUUGUCAUGCAAAAUCUACAUUGUAGCAUGCUGAAAUUUGAAGCACACAAAUGCACUCCGUAUUCAGAAGCAGAUGCUGCGGCGGGAUAGCAGCUCUCUCGCAGUAUUCAAAAUAUGUAUAUACUAACUAGAACGUAUGUAUUAGUUAAUAUUUCUAGAAGACUAGAACUAUUCUGAAUGCAAGCAGAUGCCGCGACGGGAUAGCAGCUCUCUUGCAGUAUUCAAAAUAUGUAUAUACUAUCUAGAACGUAUGUAUUUGUUAAUAUUUCAAGAAGACUAGAACUAAUCCGAAUGCAA
Long non-coding RNA from Lolium rigidum, 443 nucleotides. RefSeq lists it as uncharacterized. The record is from RefSeq and is a predicted model, not a curated record. Lineage: Eukaryota; Viridiplantae; Streptophyta; Magnoliopsida; Poales; Poaceae. The transcript is spliced from 2 exons.